Molecule: long non-coding RNA, 896 nt
Filed under: Brassica rapa (field mustard)
Lineage: Eukaryota; Viridiplantae; Streptophyta; Magnoliopsida; Brassicales; Brassicaceae
Description: long non-coding RNA (BRAP_LNC003092)
Source: RNAcentral
UAAACGUGUUAUAAAUAUUUUGUGAUAUUCAAAGAAGAAUAUACUCUGGAAUAUUACUUGCAGCAAAGAUCAAGCGGGUGUACGGUGGUGUGGUGGUGUAGCUUGAUGUAUUGUGCAGGUGUGGAGACAUGCUAGGCAGGGAGUGGCGGGGACAACUCAACCCGUUUUCUUGUAAGGUUCGGUGGCGGCGAUAACGGGUGCUUUGCUCAGUUUGGGAGUCGAUUUCAAGCGCUGUGUGGCAUCGAGUAAGAACCCGGUUUUGGAGGUGAUUGCAAGACUGUGUGGUAAGUAUCUGGAAUCCUCCCUAAUUGGUCGUCUAGCGUUUCAUUGAUAGUGACGGUUAUAAGCUUGUGAAAAUCAUCGGAAAUUAGCUAUUCUGAAGAUGAUAAGGGAAGUCUCGGCAUCCGAGGUAACAAAGAGAACAUCACCUUCCCGUGGUCCUCAUCAAAGGUUGAGAACGACAACCGAUUCCAAAGAAGUUCGAAAAACAGACUAGCGGAAUGUACCGGGUUUAGUGGGUGGGCGAAGCUAGUUUUGUAAUAGUUUGACUUUGGAAAUUUUGUUCAAAGCAAGUUUGUAACCGGAUCUGAAUUCUCGAUUGUUCGGGUUGAAUAAAUAUUUAUUAAUUUUAAAAAAAAAUUAUUUCGUCGGAAAAAAAAAAAAGAUCGAGCUAAAAAAAAAUAUUAAUCAGGAGAAGACACCUAUGCCUGAUGGUUGGGAUUUGAAUCUGACACCAGUUUACAUAUAGCUGGAAAUGGGAUCGGCCUGAUAGCAAAUUAUUUAUUAUUGGCCCAUUAGAGCAUAACGGGCUUCCAAAACCCAAGAUUAAAAAUAUCAAGGCCCAUAAAGAAAAGUCUUAACCAGGGGACACGUGUACGGUCCUGAUUUCAUCUAAC